Long non-coding RNA from Podarcis raffonei (Aeolian wall lizard), 648 nucleotides. RefSeq lists it as uncharacterized. The record is from RefSeq and is a predicted model, not a curated record. The transcript has 4 exons. NCBI's taxonomy places the organism in Eukaryota, Metazoa, Chordata, Lepidosauria, Squamata, Lacertidae.
CAAGCUCUAGGAGAGAGCUUGAAAGCAUCUAUUAUUGCCAUGGUGUUUCAGAAGACAAUAGUAUCUUCUCAUUGCAUAAAAGUUUAUCAUUGUUUAAUAAUAUCCCCUCUUCUCCUUCUCCUCCCCUCCCCUCCCUUUCUCACAAUAAUACAGGCAGCGACCAUUUUACAAGCAUCCAGUUGACACACAAUUAGAUUAAAGAACCAUUAGAAGGGAGAACAGGAGGGGCCUUGAAGGUACCCAUCAACAGUUUGUCAUAGUCUUCCUAUGAUGAGGUGUAUAAUGGACUAGCAGAGAGCACACGUUUGUUCAUGGAGAGUCAUAUUCUGGCCCACCAUCUUGAUUCAAAAUGGCACCCGGCAUCGAAAUAGCAACCAUCCAGAUGCCAAUGGGAUCUUGAAAGCAGGGAUCCAAGUGCAACAGUGCUCUGCCCACUUGUAAUUACCAGCAACUUCUACUCAGAGAGCUUUCUAUUUUGUGACCUGUGGGACUUGUCAAUGGUCAUGUGCAUGACCAAUUUGAAGAACGUUUUCCACAUGUGUACUUCCACAGGAUUGCUUGAGAUAUUGCAGUGAUAAGUGCUAUGAUAAUUCCUGGAGAGAAGCAGAGAGGACAAAGCAGAUAAAUGAAUGAAUGAAUGAAUGAAUG